GUGUANGUAUAAAUAAUUUUACUUUGAAACUGCGAAUGGCUCAUUAUAUCAGUUAUAGUUUAUUAGAAAUAUUUUACUACUUGGAUAACCGUAGUAAUUCUAGGGCUAAUACAUGAGUAAAACCUCAACUUCGGAAGAGGUGUGUUUAUUAGUAUGAAAACCAUAUAUCUUCGGAUAUAAUAGUGAGUAAUAAUAACCUUUCAUAUCGUAUGUCGUAAGAUAACGAUAGUUCUUUCAAGUUUCUGCCCUAUCAGCUUUCGAUGGUAGUAUAUGGGACUACCAUGGCAGUAACGGGUAACGAAGAAUUUGGGUUCGAUUUCGGAGAGGGAGCCUGAGAGAUGGCUACCACAUCCAAGGAAGGCAGCAGGCGCGUAAAUUACCCAAUCCUGACAUAGGGAGGUAGUGACAAUAAAUCACAAUGCGGAACUNUUANUUUU
RNAcentral lists this ribosomal RNA (437 nucleotides) under Blastocystis sp. RNAcentral's name for it is "SSU rRNA". It matches the Rfam family "Eukaryotic small subunit ribosomal RNA", at positions 57 to 501 of the family's 1831-position model. Lineage: Eukaryota; Bigyra; Opalinata; Blastocystidae. The record is from RNAcentral.